CAGUACGCUGCCACAGUGUUGCCUCAGCGAGGAGCAGCAGAGCAACAGGGAGUUGGAUCCAGCGCCCUCGCCGGUGUGCGUGCCCUGUGUGUGGCUCUCGCACACUGUAUGUGUGUCUCUCCCCUUUUGGUGACGUAUGUGUGCGUGAAUGUGUUUUAAAUUAACCCCUUUCGACUCGACCGAGACGAAACUUCGCAACCAGAGCCACAGUAGUAGCAGAUAUUGCGGUGUCUGGCGGUGGUGGUGAUGCAAAACGUCAGCCGAGAAAAGAAUCGAGUGAAUCCAAUCGAGGAAAACAAGAAGAAUUUCAAGUCAAAUCCCAUUCGGUUGGGUGUCAGUCAGUGCGGUGUUGUAUAUAUGAUCCGUAAUUAAAUAGGCAAAAGUGAACGCGCAUCGUCGUCGCGGUGAAAAGUGUGCAGUGUAAAAGCAAAAGUCGAAAUUGGAAAACACCACCGCCCCGUGUGUCUGCUCCGAGACGUGUGGCUCCGAGCUAGAUGAAAAGAAGAAAUUGUAUCUUUUAAUGUAUUUUUGCUCGAUUGGGAAAGGGAAGUGAAAAUCGGGGUGCCCAGAGUGAUUUCCUUACGAUUUUUCAGCGGAAGCUUUUAUGAUCUUGGUGAUCUUGAAACUCAAUUAUUGUUGGAGGAAGUGAAAAGGGAGGCAGGAUAGUUUAAGGGAAGAAUCACAUACAACGGCAACAACGAUAACAACAACAGUGAAGCACAAGAGAAAAAAGAAACCCAACGAACAACAACAAUGUCGAUGGACAACCGAAGUACCUCGGCCCUGUUCAAAAGGGCCGAGCAGUUGAAACGGUGGGAAGAAUCGGAAGCCAACAAGCACAGUGGCAUCCCGAAGAGUCCAUCAAUGCGCCGGAUUAAGUUCUCUUCGGGGUGCAUCUUUCUGGCUGCCUGCGUGGCCGGCGAUAAGGAUGAAGUCUCACGGCUGCUGGAAACCGGCGCCGAUAUCGAUACGGCCAACGUGGACGGCCUAACGGCGUUGCAUCAGGCUUGCAUCGACGACAACUUAGAUAUGGUGGAAUUCCUGGUACAAAAUGGAGCCGAUGUCAACAGAAAGGACAAUGAAGGAUGGACGCCCCUACAUGCCACAUCUUCCUGCGGUUUCCUCAGUAUAGCGCGCUACCUAAUAGAGAAUGGCGCCGACCUGGCGUCAAUCAACAGCGACGGCGAGCUGGCCCUGGAUCUGGCCUGCUCGGACGCCAUGGCGGAUCUCAUCCAGCGACACAUCGACGAACAGGGCAUUGACUGUGAGGACGCUCGGCAGGCCGAGGAGAAGAUCAUGCUCAGUGACGCCAAACGGUGGCUCCGCACCGACAGUACCGAUUGUGAUAAAGCCCACCCGAAGACGGGCGCCACGGCGCUGCACGUGGCCGCUGCCAAAGGAUACGCGAAGGUGCUCGGCCUACUGCUGGACGGCCGGGGGGACUUCGACAAGCAGGACGUGGACGGUUGGACGGCGCUACACGCGGCCGCCUACUGGGGCCAGAAGGAAGCCGUACAGAUGCUGCUGGGUGCGAACGUCGACAUCGACAUCCAGAACUACAGCGGCCAGUACGCGAUCGAUAUCGCACAGAAGGACAUCAUGCCACUGCUGGACGAGGCACGGAAGAACUUCAAACGGCCCAAACGGCGACCGGCUAGUCAGAUUAGAAUUACGGAUACCAUUGAGAACAGCAUCGAGACACCCACGAAGGUCAUCCGGGUGGAGGUGAAACCGAUCGACAGCAAAGAGCAAGAAGAAGUUAUUAGCGGCAGCGAAUUGGACGAAGAAGAAGAAGUGGAAGAUGAGGAGGAGGAGGAGCAAGAAUUAGAACAGUCAUUGGAAGAGGAAAAUGGGAUUGAAGAAGAAGGGAAUGGGAGUGAUCGCGACGGGAGUGUUGAACCUGAAGAGUCCGCUGAGGAGGAGGAGGCGGAAGAAGCGGAUGAACCGGAAGAAGAUGCGGAAGAGCAGGAGGUCGAGGAGGAGGAAGCCACGGUAGAGCCGGAAGAGGAGGAGGCUUCUGAGGUGGAGUCGUCGUCUUCGUCGUCGUAUUCUUCUUCAUCAUCGACCGAAAGUUCAACGUCAUCGAGCGAGAGCAGCAUGACCGAAGAAUCUGAAGCAGAAGACCGUUCCAAGCCCGUUCCAAUAAUUUCCCGUCCGAGUCCGGUUCCCGUGGCGGAGCAAAUUAUCGUUCCGAAACCGCGCGUCGAUGGAGUGCAUCGGGAGCUGCCGGCGGCGCCACCACUGCCGCCACCGCCCAUCGUAUCGCAACAGAUGGCGCCCCCGCCGGUACCGUGGCGUCGACCACGUGCCAUUCCGACUCCGGUUCCAACGGAGGAACACGAGUACCAGCAGCAGCAAAGUUUACAGAAGCUGCAGAAUGGACACUCCGCUGCCAGUCGGCUAUCGCCGUAUCGCAAUCUUCCUGAGAAAGAAAAUCAACCGAACGAGCCCGAUGUGAUACUGAGGCGGACACAGAGUUUCGAGAGCGAUGAAAAGUUCUAUCAAAAGUACGUCGAACUGCGGGCACGAAUACAGGCCAACUCGUGCCCGAUACUGCCAAACACGAACCCUGCGGCCAAUGCGAAACCUGCCACCGCCAACAAUACCAACAACAGCUAUCUCGUACAAAGGUCUGCCUCGCUCAAGGACCAUCGAACGUUAAGGAAAGCCUCCAGCAAUUUGGUGCUGGGGACCACCGGUAGUACGACCGGUUCCGCAACAACCAACGUACAAACGGCAACCACAUCGCCGCCAACUAGUCCCACCGGAACGCCCGUCACGACGCCCAGCACCGGACAGAUUCGAAGCAUCACACCUGUCAACAACAAAAAGAACACGACCAAUAGUCCUCCCAUACCAUCGGUUGAAGUCACCACCACCACCAACAACAACAAUAUUAAUAACAAGAAUGACACCAGCAGUAAUGCGGUCAACAAAAAUCAUAGCCUGUUCGAACUAAAUCGAAAAUACAUUGAACAAGCCCAAAAGACGAAGAUUAAUAAUGAGCGCAAUAAAUUUCUCUCGUCACUCAACGAGAAGAGGCUGCAACAGCAACAACAACAGCAGGAAGCGCCACAGCCGGAAGCGAAAGGGCCAGCACAAUCCGCAGCCGCAAAAUCCGGCCCCGCAGAAAAAGAAUCGUCGCAACCGGCGGAGGCACUCGCAACCGCUAAGAGCGUAGCCGGCGUCUAUGCCACCAGCGCUUCCAACAGCACCGAUAACGACGCCGCCGCUCCCAAUUCCAACAACGCUAGCAACAUCAAUUCCAACGCAAAUGCAACAUCGCCAACGCAGCAGCAACAACAACAACCACCACCAACCGUAGUCACCUCAACGAAUAAACUUUCGCCGGGAAAUAUUUUCAAAAACUUUUUCAAAUCCUUCGUGCCACCGACGCGCGACGAAGAGAGUGAAACUCAGCGGAAAGCGCACGCCAAGCGAGUCCGUGAAACGCGACGUUCCACCCAGGGCGUCACUCUGGACGAGAUCAAGAGUGCCGAGCAGCUGGUCAAGAAGAAGAAUUCCACCAACAGCAGUAGUGAUAGCGACCCAUCCGCAAGCUCAUCCACAACAGCAACCACCUCAAGCAGUACCACUUCAUCCACUCUCAUCAACGAUCGUGUGCCGUCGGUGGAUGCCAGUUCCGAGGUAAGCAGCAAAGUUCCUUCGUCGUCGAGUAGCAGCAACACUUCCGCCGAGCAGCAAGUGUCCGCCAGUUUCACCAUCAGCGCCCCGCCCUCUAGUUCUCUGCCGACAAAUGCUUCCAUCAAAUCCCAUCGGGGCGAUGUGGGUGGCGGUGGCAGCGGUGGCGGAGGAGGAGGAGGCAGCGACACCGCUUCCGCCACAGACGACAGCAAGAUCAGUGUUUCGUACACGAUCACCACUCCGAGGCUUAGUAGCAGUGUCACGUCCGGUAGCAGUGAUUCCACAACGACCGCCAAAGAUAGCAAAAGCAAGGACAGUAGCGCCCCUUCGGUAACAGCGACCUUCAGCGUGCCUACUGCGGCAUCCAUCAUCUCCUCCAGCAAUACCACGAAUAACAACAAUCCUAACAGUAGUAACAAUAAUCUUUACAAGAAGACUGAUUCGGACGACCUAACGAAAACGACGUCAACAUCGACGAAGUCAUCCGUAUCGACGGCGGCAGGGGAUUCAUCAUCGAUUAGUACGCCAGCGUCGUCAACAUCCGUGACGGCCACCAUUCGGACGCCGGGUCCCUUCAGUGCUACCAAACGAUCCCUGUUCGACAUCGACAAUGCUAAUUCCCUUACCCUGGCGGAAAAACUGCGCCAGGAGGCCAACAAAUACGCCGAGAGCGAUAAGGAGAACUUCGUUAGCUCGAAAGUACCAACGACCGCCGCAACGGCAGCAACGACAACGAAAAGCAGUAGUGAAUCAACCGCCUCGAAUACGACCCCGGCUGCAGCCGUAGAAGGAACGGUACUGCUGCGGAAAGACACCAGUGCACCUUCGUCCCCGUUACAUCACCACCAUCAUCAACCAUCGGCUGCGGCUGAGCGGAGGCCCUCGUGGCGGUUGAAAGUGGACGGAGGUUCCAAGUUCAAACUUGAAGACGCAUCCGCACCUACGAGUGCAGCUUCCACAAACACUACGAGUAGUAUCGCCACUGCCCUGGAUUCUUCCUCAAAUAGUCGACAGCAGCAGCAUCAAAAUGAACUCAAUAGUAUUUCAAUGUCAUCGUUGGCUCAACGAAGGCAGAACGGUGACAGUAGCAGCCUUAACACAUCUCGUCCGACGUCAGCUCCGGAACUGAGUUCCGCGGCAAGCGGUCUUCAAAACGACACAAGCCUGCAUCUGAGAACCCGACCACUGAAGGCGGCCAGCGAGGAGAACAAAGAGAAUGACAAGGAGAACGAGAACCGCACCGGUAGCACCACCAACAGUAGCACUGGUGCCCAAGCGACGCAGGCCGUGAUCCAGAGAAGGAGGCGUCAAAAGCGACGCUCCACCGGGUUGGUGCACGUCGACAUGGAGGAUAUUGAUCCUGACCGACAAGAUUCUCCUGUCGACGGUGAAGAGAAGGAGUCCGGAACGGAACGAGGUCGAUCGCGAGUUGGUUCGACCGCUUCCGAGCUAGGAGACCAUCAGAAGGACGAUAGCGAAUCCAAGGAGAAUGGUGGUGACUACAUCGACUACAAAGCUCUCUAUGAACAGGCCAAAGCUGAUAAUAAUAAGCUUAAGAGUGACUUAAGGAAAAAGGACGAGGAAGUAGUUAGUCUUCAAGCGGCGCUCGAAAGGUUUACCGUUGCGACCACCAAAAACAACUCGCUGUCCGAGCUGGAAAAGCGGGAAAAACGAGCGAUGGAACGGAAAAUGUCGGAAAUGGAGGAAGAGCUCAAGUUGCUGCAAAAAUAUAAAACAGAAAACGAACGCCUCCGAGCGGAAAACCGCGCCCUUACUCGAGUCGUUUCCAAACUGACCACCUCAGCGCAGAAUCAGCUGCACAAUAAACAAUAGCAGUGGCAGUAGUAAUAGCGGUGAUGGUAGUAGUAGCAGCAUACAUCGACCGGGGGAAGUGGUAGCAUAAGCAAUCUUACCGCAAGAUGCUGAGGUUUGCACAAACACACGCACACACAUAGACCUAAGAGUGCGAGGAAACAUUCAAAGCGCACAUUGUGAACCAAUCGCCCAGCAGAACGCCCCACUUCUCUAGUACUACGCGCAUUUUCUCUGAAAGUAUAUUAUGUAAUAGAUUAGUCGUUGAUAGUUAGCUUUUGUCGGUUGAGUAAGAUAUAACGACAGGAAAUGGAAUUGCAGUAGAAUAGCAUUUGAAGCCAAACAUUAUUCUAGCAGAAUUGAAUCCUAAAGUGCUAAACAAUGGUUACCGCCGAAAGUAAUAUAAUACCAUAAAUAUUACACCAAACUUAAUUAGAGAACGAAACCAAAAAUCGGUGCUGUGUGUCUGUGGAGUAACCAGAAACCCGUUCAUCUCAAAUGUUUUGGACAACGCCAUCCCUUCGGCCACUCAACCACCGACGACGACAACGAAGCACUAGGCCAGAUUAAAAUCAGAAAACAAAAAAAUAUUGCUACUAGUUAUUCAAGACCUUGCGAUUGACCUUAUCCACACAUUGCAUCGUCCAUACGUCAGCGUGCGUGUGUUGUGUCCAGAAUUUGGCCAUCCGAGAUAGAACUGAUUUUGCAACUGGAAGCCCUCAAGACCGAAAAUCAGCGCCUGAAGGACGAGAACGGAGCGCUCAUUCGUGUAAUUAGUAAGUUAAGUAGAUAGAGGCAGGCCACACUCGGCCCAGCGACGCUGAUUCAGUUAACAACAUCAACUACCACCCCCACUACAGCAACAAAUGCUAAAUAGAAAGAAAUUUUUUCGAACAUCAAUCAUUCAGGAGAGCAGCAACCGAGAAUGGAGCAGCAACAAUUUUUGUUUUACUAGUUUUUUUUUCUGGAAUCGGACUAAUUUAUUUUUAGUUUUGCCACAUGUAAUAACAGGAUAUAAAUGAAGGAAAAACAACGGAAUAUCUCUUCAAAUCAAACGUAUAGAUAGUACUAGGAAGGGACAAAUAACUAUUUAUUGGCAGAAAGAAACCACGACCACACGUAAAAAACAAGGUAACAUGAUUUCAACGAUAUUUUUAACGAGGAAAGAGUGGUGGUUUUGUAAGGAAUUAGUUUUUGGGGGAUUUUUUCGCCCAGUGUAGGAAAAUGCUUUGUACUUUUAGACCAUUAACGAUAAUUUUUUCAGUAGUGGAGAGAAAGAAUGGAAUAAUUAUUAUUUUUGUUGUUGAUUAAAAAUUCUUCGUGUAAGUUAGUUUGAUUCGGAAAUAUAUCGUUUCAAUCCGUUCCUUCGAUUUAGUAUAUGAUGGACGGACCAGCGCGGGCGAUGGCCGCGCUAUACUUUGUACAAAGUUUAACUGCUUUUUCUAUUUGAAUUUGUAACAAAUGAAAUAAAAAAAAAACAAUGAGUAAGGGAGCAUUAAGGAGUGCAAACAAUCCAGAAACAAUAAUUGAAGCUGUUCAAAACACAAAAAAUAAAAACUAACAUUUGAAGGUAUAUUUAUAGGACUUUUAUAGUAAUCCGUACGUAUUUAUAUUUAUACAUCAUUCAGCAUACAAGUUGCUGAUUCCUUUUGGUGAUUGUGUUUGUGCUUCCAGCAAAACCAUUUCAUAGAAUAGAUAUUUCAUCGGAUCGAAAUGUGACUGCUAAUUCAAAAUAACGGUUCUCUUCGAAGUGAUGAGAUUUGAGUUUGAAGUUAUUUUUUCGUGGACAGUCGUUUCCUCAGAAAUCUCGGCAAUCAAAUUGAUAAACUUAGAAAAGUGGAAAAUUGUUGGUUAUUUAGCAUAAUUACUUAUUUUGAUUAUGAGAAAGUACCAUUUUGCGCAUAAAAUUUAUAAGAAUUGAAUACUGAUUUGAGAUAUUUUUUCAUGCUAAAGUUUCCCUUUUCCUGGUACGAUACUCCUUCAUUCAAUCAGCAUAUCCGUUUCCUUGUAAUAGAUCUCAAUAAUUGCAAUAAGGGAAGGUAAAUUGGAAUGGUUAUGAGGAGAAAGUCAUGGGAGGUGAAUGUGAAAGAUUGAAAAACGAAAGGUCCAAUUCAAAAUCAAAUGACCCACCCUACCGUUGCCACAGAUAAAUCCUAAAUCUUUCUUACUUUUCCACCCCAUGAAUAAUACUACUAAAAUAGCAUUUUAGAGAUUCAUUGAAAAUGACUAAGCACCAACCAUUCGGAUGUUAUGUGCCCAUUUGGUUAACUAUUGACUAUUUUUUAGUUUGUAUUAAACUUUUUACUGAAGUCAAAACGUUCUAAUUAAAUUUUGUCUUCACCAACAGCAAUUUGUACGCUAAAGAUGGAAGUAAUUAGGACGAGAGCGUGUAUGCAUCCCUUACAUAUAGCUAGAAAAGAAAAAUAUACAAAUCUGAAGGCAUUUUUUUGGAAUAUGGUUUUGAAGAUUUGCAAUUGCUUUGAAAGCCCAAUAAAUGCAGAACUCCUAGAUUGGUUUUUACCAAUUUUAAGUCAAAAUUUUGAAACCUUCGAAGACCACCGAAUGAGCUAAUGUUGGAAGCAAUUCCAACGUAUCCCGCGUAUGUGACGGCCUUCAAUAUCUAUUUAUUAUCUGAAUCCCGUUUUGUCGAUAGAGUGAGAACAAUGUGAAAGGCAAUGUUUCAAAAUGCUGGCAAAGUCAAUGUCUCCGAAUAAGCAGAAAAAUGUAUGUUACUUGCUGUAUCUCUUGAGCGUUUUAGUUGAUAGUUAUUCUCUUCUUGAUUAGUCGUUUAAUGUGUAAUGCAAUUCUUGUAUGUAGUAGAAAGUUGCCGAAAGCUACGUAAAACAGGCAAAGAAGCAAACCCAAUAUGGGGAAUAGUACUUCUCCUCACUGUUUAUUGUCAUUAUUGAUUAUUAAGUAUGAUUAUUAAAAUUAUUUUUAUUAUUAUUGAACUAUAUCUUUAUCGUCAUAGUUAUGUUGUAUUUGUCAUCGAAUUAUAAGUGAAAAUUGAAGAAACAAACAACACUGCAUAGAAGCCACAUAACGCGAAACACCCCCACACAUACAAACUCAUUAAUACAUUGUAAUUUAUGUUUAUUGCUGCUGCGAAGAGGAAACGCGCAUUGUACUAUUAUUAUUUUCAAAACAAACGAAACAGUUAAAAAAUACAGAUGAAAAAAAAAUGUUAAAACAA
RNA transcript from Armigeres subalbatus, 8650 nucleotides. It is a transcript of the gene named protein phosphatase 1 regulatory subunit 12A, with no coding region annotated. Lineage: Eukaryota; Metazoa; Arthropoda; Insecta; Diptera; Culicidae. The transcript is spliced from 20 exons. The record is from RefSeq and is a predicted model, not a curated record.